UACGGAGGGGGCAAGCGUUGUUCGGAAUUACUGGGCGUAAAGGGCGCGCAGGCGGCUGCUCAAGUCAGGCGUGAAAGGCCUGGGCUCAACCCGGGAAUUGCGCUUGAGACUGGGCUGGCUUGAGUGCGGGAGAGGAUGGUGGAAUUCCCAGUGUAGAGGUGAAAUUCGUAGAUAUUAGGAAGAACACCGGUGGCGAAGGCGGCCAUCUGGACCGCAACUGACGCUGAGGCGCGAAAGCGUGGGGAGCAAACAGG
RNAcentral lists this ribosomal RNA (254 nucleotides) under uncultured bacterium. RNAcentral's name for it is "partial 16S ribosomal RNA". It matches the Rfam family "Bacterial small subunit ribosomal RNA", at positions 524 to 776 of the family's 1533-position model. The record is from RNAcentral.